CAGGAGAGAGAGAAGAUAAGACGGAGAGAGAGGAGGAGAGGAGGGAGAGGAAAGGAGGUGCGGUGGCAGGGAAAUCGUCGUCGGAUGCGUCCUAUAUGUGAUGGGUGUGUUCCCAUCAAGUCGAUGGUGGGGUUGAUGUGCCCGUCGAUUCGGUGAUCCGUUGGCUGAGCUCGUCUUCUCAGUGGCAGACUUGUGUUCUAUGGUAGUCGGAGCCAUUGUAUGUGGUUGUGCAGUUGCUGAUGUACAGGAGGCAUCCGUGGUGUCAGUUCUUCAUCGUCCAUGCUUAUCUUCUAUAUGCUCUAGCAGCCAGGAUUUAAUUGAUGGAGUCCUGCUGCUAAAGGACGUGAACAGGAAGUCCUAUCGCUGGAUGUUUACUGUCCGAAUUGCAAGGAUCUGGGAAUACAUGAGUACAGACCCUAUCAAAUUCUAUAGCUCUAUUCAUUGGCACACGAGUUGAUCAAUUUUGAGGUAAUAAAGCGAAGUUGUUAUCUGGAAAAUACUUACCUACUUAAAGAAGGUCAAAAUAGAGAAAUCGUUGGCAUAAUUUUUAUGUAUACAAUAUACUAGCUUUCAUAUCUACUUUGGACACCACGUGGCACAUCAACAUUAUGUACCUGAAGCGAUCGCUACAGAAGAAAGGUACCAAACAAGAUUAACUGUUUCUAUGCUUCUCAAAAUACUUUAGUAUAUGCCCAUAAUAUCACAGUAUGAAUUACUGUGUGGGAAGUUUGCUUUUUCUACCAUCACAGAAUAAUAAUUCAUUUUUUAGUUUGAUAUAUUCCGCGCCCAGUUAACUAUUUGUAUUUGCCAGUAGAAUGCAGGAAAAAAUACCAACCUGCUUGUGUUCCCAAGAGAGUGUAUUUUCUCCAUACCUCAACAUUCUUGAUACAUAUGGUCAUCUCUGUUCUGGACAGCACACUUCACGACCUCUCUUCAUGGCACAAAACUGAAACUGUGCCAUGAAUAUAUUUUCCUUGCAUGCUUGUCUAAAUAAAGUGUGCAAUACACAUGGCAUAGUCGCAUAGAUAUACAAAUCCCCUAUUCCUGUGAGCGAAACUGAAGCUUGCUACUUGUGUAAGACCAGUCAUAAACAUUUCUGUGAUUGUAGCUGAUUCCCGUCAGUGAAACUUUGCCAUGACCAUUGUUUAUUCAGUGAAAUAGCUGAUUCCAAUCAUCCAUCAACGAGAUUUGUGAUAAUCACAACAACAAGCUCAUAUCUUACAAAUCCCCUGAUUGGUGAUUAUCCAUUUUAUAUGAUGUUUUUUCAUUUGCAAGCGCUGAGUUUUUUCCUUUCAAGUUUCUCUCUCUUACUCUAUUUCAUUAAAUAUAUUUCUCCUCUCAUUCCAUCAUUCAGUCUAUCGGUUACUCAUGAUGAGUGAUUAUAUGCAAUCAUCCGACAAUAAUUAGUACAGAUAAUUAGUUGUGCCAGGUUGCUACAUUUCUGUCUCCUUUUUGCCAAUAUGAAAUAUGAUGGCAUAUUAAUAUUUAGAGCCAGUCUCGUCGUUCGCUGCAGCAUCACCCUUCUUUUCCGCCGCCCUAACUUUUUUGCACCCCGGGCCUAGCAGGCGAUAACGGCGCCACGAGGAUUCGCUGCCGUGAGGAGGACCCCGACCCGUAUGAUGGCCACCGGAAGGUCACACACUUCUUUGGCUCGCUCAGACUGGCUCCAUUGACGACUUCUCUAUGGUAUCUUCUUGUGCAGCUUCACACCUGCUUGUGUGUCUUGCAAAAAAGUAAGCUACCUGGUAACUCUCUACUCUGCUUUAGCAGGCGUUUGCAGAGGAAGCCAAGUGAUACAUGAUACUGGUGUAUUUGUUGGGUUCCUCUUGGCGUGUUGAACAAAAAUUGGCGGUCAUCACUGCUAUUUAAAGUUGGUUUGAUCAGUACUAGGGAAAACCCAUAUAUGGAAGGAAAUUAUUGUAGUUUCUUGGUAAAAUGAGUUAAAACAUGCAAGGAUACUUAGUGUUAGAAACUGCUCGGAUCUACUUUAUAUAAGCAGCUCAUCCAGCCUUGGAGCAGUAGAAAUCGGAGCAGAGCGUUCCACGACCCCACGUAGCAGGCAUGCAAUGGAGAUGGCUCAGCGAAGGAGUAGCUCAUGCGAUUCUACCUCGUCGGUGUCCUCAAUGGCUGACUUUGACUCAGAUUACAGUCAGUUUGUGUCCCCCAUCUCCUCACGGUCGAGGCCCAGCUUCAGGCGCGGAACGUCGGAGGCCGUACUACGCUAACCUAGCAUCUAAGGGACAUCCAGGGAAGGAUGCCGGAGGUGUUGGAAAUAUGCCCUAGAGGCAAUAAUAAAAGUAUUAUUAUUAUAUUUCCUUGUUCA
Long non-coding RNA from Triticum aestivum (bread wheat), 2323 nucleotides. RefSeq lists it as uncharacterized. The record is from RefSeq and is a predicted model, not a curated record. NCBI's taxonomy places the organism in Eukaryota, Viridiplantae, Streptophyta, Magnoliopsida, Poales, Poaceae. The transcript is spliced from 5 exons.